This 253-nucleotide ribosomal RNA is filed under the name uncultured bacterium. RNAcentral describes it as "partial 16S ribosomal RNA". It matches the Rfam family "Bacterial small subunit ribosomal RNA", at positions 524 to 776 of the family's 1533-position model. The record is from RNAcentral.
UACGGGGGGGCAAGCGGUUGUUCGGAAUUACUGGGCGUAAAGGGCUCGUAGGCGGCCAACUAAGUCCGACGUGAAAUCCCCAGGCUUAACCUGGGAACUGCGUCGGAUACUGGAUGGCUUGAAUUCGGGAGAGGGAUGCAGAAUUCCAGGUGUAGCGGUGAAAUGCGUAGAUAUCUGGAGGAAUACCGGUGACGAAGGCGAGUCCCUAGACGACUCCUGACACUGAGGCACGAAAGCUAGGGGAGCAAACAGG